Carassius auratus (goldfish) is the source of this 1192-nucleotide long non-coding RNA. RefSeq lists it as uncharacterized. NCBI's taxonomy places the organism in Eukaryota, Metazoa, Chordata, Actinopteri, Cypriniformes, Cyprinidae. The transcript has 2 exons. The record is from RefSeq and is a predicted model, not a curated record.
CUCAGUCUGUCCCUCUCUCACACUCCUGAUUUCCCUCCCUCUCUCUCUCUCUCUCUCUCUCUCUCUGUAACUCCUUCGCUCCUCUCAUCCUCCUGUGACUUAGUUUGCUGUGCGCAACAACUGGCAGACCUCUCUCCUCAUCUCCGUUGCUCGGGAGGGGAUCCUGCACGUUUGGGCACAUGGUCUUACGGCGGUGACAGAUCCGCGGCACAACAACCUGAAGGGACAGAGGCAAGGCAUCCUCAGCCUUCCCCGUCACUGCCGGAUCAAGGCAACGGACAAAUGGGCGGCUUUGUGCUCAGCGGGUGCCACUCUGUAGAGAUCUCUAGGAUUUGGCCUGAAUGUUUGCGAGCGACUCUGCCCCCAGAAGCCGGGCUAGACCGAGGACAGGACGUGAGGUCUGUGAGCACCCUAUCCCAGGUAAGAUGAUCCCCCUCACCAUCUGUCUCUCCACAUAACUAGUUAAACCCAGGAAGGGAAGCGUUUUACAUGCAAUGUCCUCCCUCUCCUGCUACAAAUGCAAAGUGUGUUCAUUUCUGUCUGCAGAUGCAACCUUUGACGGGGGCCUUGCCUUGUGAUAAAGGGCAUCUUCAAUCAAUUCCCCUAGAGAGAAAACUCUGCUUUGGCCUAUGCCACUGUGGAUGGGUGAAAGUCAGGCGAAGCCCCCUUUUUCUAAGGCUCUCUUCGGUGACGGGUAUUCUUGGGUGGAUAAUACGGCUCUCGUUGUUAUUGCUUAAGAAUACGCGUAGUUGAGGAGAGUCAUUGUCAACUGUCUUCGGGGAGAUAACCUCCACUGGUCCCAAAAAAACUUCUGGCUUUGCACUGUGGCCGUUUAUGUAGCUAAACUAGACAGCUAAUUAUUUUCUCUGUGGUUUGUUUGAUUUCUGCAACAGGAGACAGGCAGCUCUUGGUCUCAUUGGAUUGUCUCCACCUACAUUGGCAAAGCGCCGCUUUAUGCACCGCUAUCCAAUGAGUGGCAUUUUGCAUUUCACACGACUUGUUUUAAUUUUUUUUAUCUGAGUGUGGGUGCGAGGGGCAGAUUAUUGGGAAUGGCUUAUUUUGGCUCUCUUCAGGGAGUGUUUUAGUGUACACAUGCCUGCUCGCCUGGCUGAUAGGAAUGCAUUUACUGCUCUUUAUUAUUAGUCCUUUGCACCAGCAGGAGCCCCGGACUGCAUGGGGUGUUCACACAGAU